CGCGGUAUUUUGACCGUGCGAAGGUAGCGCAAUCACUUGUCUUUUAAAUGGAGACCUGUAUGAAUGGCAUAACGAGGGCUUAGCUGUCUCCUUUUUCAAGUCAAUGAAAUUGAUCUCCCCGUGCAGAAGCGGGGAUACUUACAUAAGACGAGAAGACCCUAUGGAGCUUUAGACACCAAGACAGACCAUGUUAAACACCCCAAAACAAAGGGCCAAACCAAAUGGCCCCUGCCCUAAUGUCUUUGGUUGGGGCGACCGCGGGGAAACACAAAACCCCCACGUGGAACGAGGACACNNNNNNNNNNNNCUCCUCUCACAACCAAGAGCUCCCGCUCUAGUAAACAGAAAUUCUGACCAACUAGAUCCGGCAAAGCCGAUCAACGGACCGAGUUACCCUAGGGAUAACAGCGCAAUCCCCUUUUAGAGGCCAUAUCGACAAGGGGGUUUACGACCUCGAUGUUGGAUCAGGACAUCCUAAUGGUGCAGCCGCUAUUAAGGGUUCGUG
RNAcentral lists this ribosomal RNA (505 nucleotides) under Ocyurus chrysurus. Its description in RNAcentral is "partial 16S ribosomal RNA". It matches the Rfam family "Bacterial large subunit ribosomal RNA", at positions 1932 to 2577 of the family's 2925-position model. The record is from RNAcentral. Lineage: Eukaryota; Metazoa; Chordata; Actinopteri; Lutjaniformes; Lutjanidae.